AUGGGAUUUGGGCUCCACAUCCUGGUCCUGGCAGCAGUUCUGCAAGGUGCCUGGUCCCAAGUGCAGCUGGUAGAGUCUGGAGGGGAUGUGAAGAAGCCUGGAGACUCUCUGCACCUCUCCUGCAAUGCCUCUGGGUUCACUUUAAGCAGCUCAUACAUGAACUGGGUCCGCCAGGCCCCUGGGAAGGGACUAGACUGGGUGGCUGAAAUCAGCCCUGAUGGAUCCAACCAGAGAUACUCCCCGGCUGUUCAGGGACAAUUCACCAUCUCCAGAGACAACUCCCAGAACAUGCUGUACCUGCAGAUGAGCAGCCUCAAACCCGAGGACACAGCCCUGUAUUACUGUUCCACAGACACAGUGACUCAAACCCUAUUCAUGGCAAUACAAAAUCCCAGCUCAGAUCAUCUUUUCUAA
Alligator mississippiensis (American alligator) is the source of this 414-nucleotide non-coding RNA. NCBI's taxonomy places the organism in Eukaryota, Metazoa, Chordata, Crocodylia, Alligatoridae. The record is from the annotation of a RefSeq genome assembly.